This 570-nucleotide ribosomal RNA is filed under the name Trichosporon sp. ES15S09. RNAcentral's name for it is "eukaryotic LSU rRNA". It matches the Rfam family "Eukaryotic large subunit ribosomal RNA", at positions 89 to 650 of the family's 3401-position model. The record is from RNAcentral. Lineage: Eukaryota; Fungi; Basidiomycota; Tremellomycetes; Trichosporonales; Trichosporonaceae.
GCGAGUGAACCGGGAAGAGCUCAAAUUUGAAAUCUGACAGUCUUCGAUUGUCCGAGUUGUAAUCUAUAGAAGCGUUUUCCGUGCUGAACUGUGUAUAAGUCCCUUGGAACAGGGUAUCAAAGAGGGUGACAAUCCCGUACUUUACACAAUCAUCAGUGCUCUGUGAUACGUUCUCUACGAGUCGAGUUGUUUGGGAAUGCAGCUCAAAAUGGGUGGUAAAUUCCAUCUAAAGCUAAAUAUUGGCGAGAGACCGAUAGCGAACAAGUACCGUGAGGGAAAGAUGAAAAGCACUUUGGAAAGAGAGUUAAACAGUACGUGAAAUUGUUGAAAGGGAAACGAUUGAAGUCAGUCGUGUUCAUUGGACUCAGCCGGUUUUCGGUGUAUUUCCUUUGAACGGGUCAACAUCAGUUUUGUCCGGUGGAUAAAGUCAGUAGGAAGGUGGCUCUCUCGGGAGUGUUAUAGCCUAUUGUCGCAUACACUGGAGGAGACUGAGGACUGCAGCUUGCCUUUAUGGCCGGGGUUCGCCCACGUUCAAGCUUAGGAUGUUGACAUAAUGGCUUUAAACGACCC